ACAGAGGGUGCAAACGUUGCUCGGAAUUACUGGGCGUAAAGCGCGUGUAGGCUGACAUGCAAGUCGGAUGUGAAAUCCCAGGGCUCAACCUUGGAACUGCAUUCGAAACUGCACGUCUUGAGUACUGGAGAGGGAAGCGGAAUUCCGGGUGUAGAGGUGAAAUUCGUAGAUAUCCGGAGGAACACCAGUGGCGAAGGCGGCUUCCUGGACAGUAACUGACGCUGAGACGCGAAAGCGUGGGGAGCAAACAGG
Molecule: ribosomal RNA, 252 nt
Filed under: uncultured bacterium
Lineage: Bacteria
Description: partial 16S ribosomal RNA
Rfam family: Bacterial small subunit ribosomal RNA
Source: RNAcentral